Molecule: non-coding RNA, 1391 nt
Organism: Prunus mume (Japanese apricot)
Lineage: Eukaryota; Viridiplantae; Streptophyta; Magnoliopsida; Rosales; Rosaceae
Source: RefSeq, a predicted model, not a curated record
AAAAGGCAACAUUAUCCUCGAAAGGACUACAGAAAUGAAAAAAAAUACUCCAGAGAUGCUUAUUUGUUAUUUCAUCUUCAUUGGGGUAAAAUUGGCAGAUAGAUGAAACCAUCGUGGUCGCAGAAUCUUACCCUAGAAAUCAGCUACGCUCUUUCUUACUUUCUUUGGCUCCACAUAGUUCUUAUUUUAAGUAAUCAAAGAAAACAUGGAUGAUGGGGUGGUAGAGAUUUCAGACCAUGCUGUAGAUACAUUUGUUGAUGAAUUUCUGAAGAAUACCCGGACUUGCAGUCAAACUCACACUUGUAACCCACCUGGCCCUGAUGCUGCACAUACACAUACUUGCUACCACACCCAUACCCAAGUUCUUCCGUCGGAAGAUGAUGAUGGUGCUAAGAAUAAAGAGCAUUCCGUUCCCAGACCACAAAGAAGAAGGCCUUCCAGAAAUAGAGAAGCAGUUCGAAAGUACAGGGAGAAAAAGAAGGCGCAUACAGCUUACUUAGAAGAGGAAGUAAAGAAAUUGAGGCUGUUGAACCAGCAACUUGUUAGAAAAAUACAGGGGCAGGCAAUUCUUGAAACAUAGUUUUUAAGGCUGAGAAGCUUGUUUCUGGACCUUAGAGGAAUGAUUGAUCAUGAGUUGGGUGCUUUCCCCUUCCAAAAUCAGUGCUAGUAUCGGCACAAGCACGAAAGCAAUGGUGCCAUUAGGAGGAAAUUGUCAGCCUGCAGUAAUUGAUUGCCAAGCAAAUACAAAUGAGAUGGCUGGUGCAGUACAAAACUCUACACAUAGUAGAAACCUUGGUAUCAUUGGCAACAGAAGCUGAGUAAAUAUAGCAUUUCUUAAUGCAUGCAGUGUUCCUACUGAAUUAUUAAAUUGGGACUAGUUGAUUGAUUGUUACAACAGAGAAAGCUGAUGAUGGCUACAUUAAUUUUUUGCAACUUUUCCCCAAGAUGGAGAAAAAGAUGAAGUUAUGAGUGAACAAAACUUUUCACCUCUGUAUGUUCGUCAUUUCAGAAUCUCGAGUCAAAAUCUUUCAGUCUGCUUCAAUGGAACUGUUUCUCAUUUCAGCAUACAAACACCAUUUCCUCAUCCAAAAUGAAAAGAUGUCAUCAAACUCGUCUGGUGCCCUUUCCAUGAUGUUGCUAGUUUCCGUAAUUCUCUGAGCUCUUUAAAAUUUGUAACUUGCUUUGAAAUCUUAGAAGGUCUCAACAAGGAAUGGUAUUGCAUCAGCUUUGCCAUUAGCUUCAAUGAAGUUAUUGACGAAAGCAGAGCAUGCUUGAUGAAACUAGCUAUCUUGUGAAAGAACAAAAGGAAUAAUAGAAUAAAAGGAAAAGAGAAAAUCAUGCUUCGAAACUGUAAAUGCAAUAAGAACUAUUUUUAAUGUUACAAAAAAACA